This 463-nucleotide ribosomal RNA is filed under the name uncultured bacterium. Its description in RNAcentral is "bacterial SSU rRNA". It matches the Rfam family "Bacterial small subunit ribosomal RNA", at positions 24 to 518 of the family's 1533-position model. The record is from RNAcentral.
UCAGGAUGAACGCUGGCGGCGUGCUUAACACAUGCAAGUCGACGAGCACUUCGGUGCGAGUGGCGGACGGGUGAGUAACGCGUGGGUAACCUGCCCUGUACAGGGGAAUAACAGAGAGAAAUCUCUGCUAAUGCCGCAUAAGCGCACGGCACCGCAUGGUGCAGUGUGAAAAGCUCCGGCGGUACAGGAUGGACCCGCGUCUGAUUAGCUUGUUGGCGGGUAAGGCCCACCAAGGCAACGAUCAGUAGCCGGCCUGAGAGGGUGAUCGGCCACAUUGGGACUGAGAUACGGCCCAGACUCCUACGGGAGGCAGCAGUGGGGAAUAUUGCACAAUGGGGGAAACCCUGAUGCAGCAAACGCCGCGUGAGUGAAGAAGUAUUUCGGUAUGUAAAGCUCUAUCAGCAGGGAAGAAGAUGACGGUACCUGCACAAGAAGCCCCGGCUAACUACGUGCCAGCAGCCGC